GGCCCUGUAGCUCAGUUGGUUAGAGCGCCGCCCUGUCACGGCGGAGGUCGCCAGUUCAAGUCUGGUCAGGGUCG
Molecule: transfer RNA, 74 nt
Filed under: Corynebacterium xerosis
Lineage: Bacteria; Bacillati; Actinomycetota; Actinomycetes; Mycobacteriales; Corynebacteriaceae
Also listed under: 3 other names
Description: tRNA-Asp-GTC
Rfam family: tRNA
About the family: Transfer RNA (tRNA) molecules are approximately 80 nucleotides in length. Their secondary structure includes four short double-helical elements and three loops (D, anti-codon, and T loops). Further hydrogen bonds mediate the characteristic L-shaped molecular structure. tRNAs have two regions of fundamental functional importance: the anti-codon, which is responsible for specific mRNA codon recognition, and the 3' end, to which the tRNAs corresponding amino acid is attached (by aminoacyl-tRNA synthetases). tRNAs cope with the degeneracy of the genetic code in two manners: having more than one tRNA (with a specific anti-codon) for a particular amino acid; and 'wobble' base-pairing, i.e. permitting non-standard base-pairing at the 3rd anti-codon position.
Source: RNAcentral